UACGGGGGGAGCAAGCGUUGUUCGGAUUUACUGGGCGUAAAGGGCGCGUAGGCGGUCGUGACAAGUCACUUGUGAAAUCUCCGGGCUUAACUCGGAACGGUCAAUUGAUACUGAUGUGCUAGAGUGCAGAAGGGGCAAUCGGAAUUCUUGGUGUAGCGGUGAAAUGCGUAGAUAUCGAGAGGAACACCUGCGGCGAAGGCGGGUUGCUGGGCUGACACUGACGCUGAGGCGCGAAAGCCAGGGGAGCGAACGGG
This 254-nucleotide ribosomal RNA is filed under the name uncultured bacterium. RNAcentral describes it as "partial 16S ribosomal RNA". It matches the Rfam family "Bacterial small subunit ribosomal RNA", at positions 524 to 776 of the family's 1533-position model. The record is from RNAcentral.